CAAUAGCAUAUAUUAUUGCUGUUGCAGUUAAAAAGCUCGUAGUUGGAAAUCGGGUCUCUGGCGGUGGUUUCAGGCGCCCGCCUGCUUACUGCCCGUCCAGGCCUUUCUGGCGGGAGGCUGUGGGUGCUCUUAACUGAGUCGCCCACUGCACCCGCUCCGUUUACUUUGAAAAAAUUAGAGUGUUCAAAGCAGGCUAGCACGCUUGUAUACAUUGCAUGGAAUAAUAGAACAGGACCUCGGUUCUUUCUGUUGGUCUCGGAAGCGAGGUAAUGAUUAAGAGGGACUGACGGGGGCAUUCGUACUGCAGGGGGAGAGGUGAAAUUCUGGGAUCCCUGCAAGACGACCGACUGCGAAAGCAUUUGCCAAGGAUGUUUUCAUUAAUCAAGAACGAAAGUCAGAGGUU
This 403-nucleotide ribosomal RNA is filed under the name Annelida sp. MM01357. RNAcentral's name for it is "SSU rRNA". It matches the Rfam family "Eukaryotic small subunit ribosomal RNA", at positions 592 to 998 of the family's 1831-position model. Lineage: Eukaryota; Metazoa; Annelida. The record is from RNAcentral.